ACUCAAAGGAAUUGACGGGGGCCCGCACAAGCGGCGGAGCGUGUGGUUUAAUUCGAUGCAACGCGAAGAACCUUACCAAGGCUUGACAUGCUAGUAGUACGGAGUCGAAAGACAAAGGACCCUUCGGGGAGCUAGCACAGGUGCUGCAUGGCUGUCGUCAGCUCGUGCCGUGAGGUGUUGGGUUAAGUCCCGCAACGAGCGCAACCCCCGUCGUUAGUUAAAUCUUUCUAACGAGACCGCUGGGAUAAACCCAGAGGAAGGUGGGGAUGACGUCAAGUCAGCAUGGCCCUUACGUCUUGGGCUACACACACGCUACAAUGGCCGGUACAAUGGGCUGCCAAGGCGCGAGCCGGAGCUAAUCCCUCAAAACCGGCCCCAGUUCAGAUUGCAGGCUGCAACUCGCCUGCAUGAAGGCGGAGUCGCUAGUAACCGCAGGUCAGCUACACUGCGGUGAAUACGUUCCCGGGCCUUGUACACACCGCCCGU
This 486-nucleotide ribosomal RNA is filed under the name uncultured bacterium. RNAcentral's name for it is "partial 16S ribosomal RNA". It matches the Rfam family "Bacterial small subunit ribosomal RNA", at positions 899 to 1397 of the family's 1533-position model. The record is from RNAcentral.